Molecule: ribosomal RNA, 472 nt
Filed under: uncultured bacterium
Lineage: Bacteria
Description: partial 16S ribosomal RNA
Rfam family: Bacterial small subunit ribosomal RNA
Source: RNAcentral
GACGAACGCUGGCGGCGUGCUUAACACAUGCAAGUCGAACGCUGAAGCUUGGUGCUUGCACUGGGUGGAUGAGUGGCGAACGGGUGAGUAAUACGUGAGUAACCUGCCCUUGACUCUGGGAUAAGCCUGGGAAACUGGGUCUAACACUGGAUAUGACAUGUCACCGCAUGGUGGUGUGUGGAAAGGGUUUUACUGGUUUUGGAUGGGCUCACGGCCUAUCAGCUUGUUGGUGGGGUAAUGGCUCACCAAGGCGACGACGGGUAGCCGGCCUGAGAGGGUGACCGGCCACACUGGGACUGAGACACGGCCCAGACUCGUACGGGAGGCAACAGUGGGAAAUAUUACACAAUGGGCGAAAGCCUGAUGAAGCGACGCCGCGUGUGGGAUGACGGCCUUCGGGUUGUGAACCGCUUUCAGCAAGGAAGAAGCGAAAGUGACGGUACGUGCAGAAGAAGCACCGGCUAACUACGUG